This 84-nucleotide transfer RNA is filed under the name Aquificota bacterium. Its description in RNAcentral is "Aquificae bacterium (hydrothermal vent metagenome) tRNA-Leu". It matches the Rfam family "tRNA". Rfam says of the family: Transfer RNA (tRNA) molecules are approximately 80 nucleotides in length. Lineage: Bacteria; Pseudomonadati; Aquificota. The record is from RNAcentral.
GCGGGAGUGGCGGAACUGGCAGACGCGCCGGACUUAGGAUCCGGUGCCCGUAAGGGCGUGCGGGUUCGACUCCCGCCUCCCGCA